UUAAGCGACUAAGCGUACACGGUGGAUGCCCUGGCAGUCAGAGGCGAUGAAGGACGUGCUAAUCUGCGAAAAGCGCCGGCGAGGUGAUAUGAACCUUUGACCCGGCGAUGUCCGAAUGGGGAAACCCAGUGUGAUUCGUCACACUAUCGUUAACUGAAUACAUAGGUUAACGAGGCGAACCGGGGGAACUGAAACAUCUAAGUACCCCGAGGAAAAGAAAUCAACCGAGAUUCCCCCAGUAGCGGCGAGCGAACGGGGAGCAGCCCGGAGUCUGAAUCAGCUUGUGUGUUAGUGGAACGGUCUGGAAAGUCCGACGGUACAGGGUGAUAGUCCCGUACACGAAAAUGCACAGGUUGUGAACUCGAAGAGUAGGGCGGGACACGUGGUAUCCUGUCUGAAUAUGGGGGGACCAUCCUCCAAGGCUAAAUACUCCUGACUGACCGAUAGUGAACCAGUACCGUGAGGGAAAGGCGAAAAGAACCCCGGCGAGGGGAGUGAAAAAGAACCUGAAACCGUGUACGUACAAGCAGUGGGAGCCUACUUGUUAGGUGACUGCGUACCUUUUGUAUAAUGGGUCAGCGACUUAUAUUCUGUAGCAAGGUUAACCGAAUAGGGGAGCCGAAGGGAAACCGAGUCUUAACUGGGCGUUAAGUUGCAGGGUAUAGACCCGAAACCCGGUGAUCUAGCCAUGGGCAGGUUGAAGGUUGGGUAACACUAACUGGAGGACCGAACCGACUAAUGUUGAAAAAUUAGCGGAUGACCUGUGGCUGGGGGUGAAAGGCCAAUCAAACCGGGAGAUAGCUGGUUCUCCCCGAAAGCUAUUUAGGUAGCGCCUCGUGAACUCAUCUUCGGGGGUAGAGCACUGUUUCGGCUAGGGGGCCAUCCCGGCUUACCAACCCGAUGCAAACUACGAAUACCGAAGAAUGUUAUCACGGGAGACACACGGCGGGUGCUAACGUCCGUCGUGAAGAGGGAAACAACCCAGACCGCCAGCUAAGGUCCCAAAGUCAUGGUUAAGUGGGAAACGAUGUGGGAAGGCACAGACAGCCAGGAUGUUGGCUUAGAAGCAGCCAUCAUUUAAAGAAAGCGUAAUAGCUCACUGGUCGAGUCGGCCUGCGCGGAAGAUGUAACGGGGCUAAACCAUGCACCGAAGCUGCGGCAGCGACGCUUAUGCGUUGUUGGGUAGGGGAGCGUUCUGUAAGCCGUUGAAGGUGGCCUGUGAGGGUUGCUGGAGGUAUCAGAAGUGCGAAUGCUGACAUAAGUAACGAUAAAGCGGGUGAAAAGCCCGCUCGCCGGAAGACCAAGGGUUCCUGUCCAACGUUAAUCGGGGCAGGGUGAGUCGACCCCUAAGGCGAGGCCGAAAGGCGUAGUCGAUGGGAAACAGGUUAAUAUUCCUGUACUUGGUGUUACUGCGAAGGGGGGACGGAGAAGGCUAUGUUAGCCGGGCGACGGUUGUCCCGGUUUAAGCAUGUAGGCGGAGGUUCCAGGUAAAUCCGGUACCUUUUAACGCUGAGGUGUGAUGACGAGGCACUACGGUGCUGAAGUAACAAAUGCCCUGCUUCCAGGAAAAGCCUCUAAGCAUCAGGUAACACGAAAUCGUACCCCAAACCGACACAGGUGGUCAGGUAGAGAAUACCAAGGCGCUUGAGAGAACUCGGGUGAAGGAACUAGGCAAAAUGGUGCCGUAACUUCGGGAGAAGGCACGCUGAUAUGUAGGUGAAGCCCCUGCGGGUGGAGCUGAAAUCAGUCGAAGAUACCAGCUGGCUGCAACUGUUUAUUAAAAACACAGCACUGUGCAAACACGAAAGUGGACGUAUACGGUGUGACGCCUGCCCGGUGCCGGAAGGUUAAUUGAUGGGGUUAGCGGCAACGCGAAGCUCUUGAUCGAAGCCCCGGUAAACGGCGGCCGUAACUAUAACGGUCCUAAGGUAGCGAAAUUCCUUGUCGGGUAAGUUCCGACCUGCACGAAUGGCGUAAUGAUGGCCAGGCUGUCUCCACCCGAGACUCAGUGAAAUUGAACUCGCUGUGAAGAUGCAGUGUACCCGCGGCAAGACGGAAAGACCCCGUGAACCUUUACUAUAGCUUGACACUGAACACUGGUCCUUGAUGUGUAGGAUAGGUGGGAGGCUUUGAAGCGUGGACGCCAGUCUGCGUGGAGCCGACCUUGAAAUACCACCCUUUAAUGGCUGGUGUUCUAACGUAGACCCGUAAUCCGGGUUGCGGACAGUGUCUGGUGGGUAGUUUGACUGGGGCGGUCUCCUCCCAAAGAGUAACGGAGGAGCACGAAGGUUAGCUAAUCCUGGUCGGACAUCAGGAGGUUAGUGCAAUGGCAUAAGCUAGCUUGACUGCGAGAGUGACGGCUCGAGCAGGUGCGAAAGCAGGUCAUAGUGAUCCGGUGGUUCUGAAUGGAAGGGCCAUCGCUCAACGGAUAAAAGGUACUCCGGGGAUAACAGGCUGAUACCGCCCAAGAGUUCAUAUCGACGGCGGUGUUUGGCACCUCGAUGUCGGCUCAUCACAUCCUGGGGCUGAAGUAGGUCCCAAGGGUAUGGCUGUUCGCCAUUUAAAGUGGUACGCGAGCUGGGUUUAGAACGUCGUGAGACAGUUCGGUCCCUAUCUGCCGUGGGCGCUGGAGAAUUGAGGGGGGCUGCUCCUAGUACGAGAGGACCGGAGUGGACGCAUCACUGGUGUUCGGGUUGUCAUGCCAAUGGCACUGCCCGGUAGCUAAAUGCGGAAGAGAUAAGUGCUGAAAGCAUCUAAGCACGAAACUUGCCCCGAGAUGAGUUCUCCCUGAGACUUUAAGUCUCCUGAAGGAACGUUGAAGACGACGACGUUGAUAGGUCGGGUGUGUAAGCGCAGCGAUGCGUUGAGCUAACCGAUACUAAUGAACCGUGAGGCUUAACCUU
RNAcentral lists this ribosomal RNA (2903 nucleotides) under Enterobacter kobei. RNAcentral's name for it is "23S ribosomal RNA". It matches the Rfam family "Bacterial large subunit ribosomal RNA". RNAcentral also lists the same sequence under 1 other name. The record is from RNAcentral. Lineage: Bacteria; Pseudomonadati; Pseudomonadota; Gammaproteobacteria; Enterobacterales; Enterobacteriaceae.